This is an RNA transcript of Mesitornis unicolor (brown roatelo), 382 nucleotides long. It is a transcript of the gene named 14-3-3 protein theta pseudogene, with no coding region annotated. The record is from RefSeq and is a predicted model, not a curated record. NCBI's taxonomy places the organism in Eukaryota, Metazoa, Chordata, Aves, Mesitornithiformes, Mesitornithidae. The transcript has a single exon.
UUGAGGUGCAUUCUCGUGUUGAUAGUGUGACAUCCCCAGCUUCUCCUGCUUUUCCUACUAUACUGCUCUUGCCCCACUGCCAGCCACCAUGGAUAAGACCGAGUUGAUCCAGAAAGCCAAGCUGGCUGAGCAAGCUGAGCGCUACGACGAUAUGGCCACCUGCAUGAAGGCAGUAACUGAGCAAGGUGCUGAGCUGUCCAACGAGGAGCGCAACCUGCUCUCAGUGGCCUACAAGAACGUAGUGGGGGGGCGGCGCUCUGCCUGGAGGGUCAUCUCUAGCAUUGAGCAGAAGACAGACACCAGUGACAAGAAGAUGCAGCUCAUCAAGGACUAUCGGGAGAAGGUGGAGUCUGAGCUCAGGUCCAUCUGCACCACUGUGCUG